Non-coding RNA from Vibrio harveyi, 169 nucleotides. The record is from Rfam. Lineage: Bacteria; Pseudomonadati; Pseudomonadota; Gammaproteobacteria; Vibrionales; Vibrionaceae.
GGUGUUUGAAGAAGCAGUUUGCUGCGUUCUUGGAUAUCACCACCAAUGUGGUACGGCAAGCCACAGUUUGCAAAUGAUACAAAUGGACCGCGUUCAAACAUGAUGAUUUCUGCGUCUUCACUAAGACGACGAGCGCGAGCUGCUGCAGAUGCACCGCCAGCAACACCAC